CCUACGGGAGGCAGCAGUCGAGAAUCAUUCACAAUGGGGGAAACCCUGAUGGUGCGACGCCGCGUGGGGGAAUGAAGGUCUUCGGAUUGUAAACCCCUGUCAUGUGGGAGCAAAUUAAAAAGAUAGUACCACAAGAGGAAGAGACGGCUAACUCUGUGCCAGCAGCCGCGGUAAUACAGAGGUCUCAAGCGUUGUUCGGAAUCACUGGGCGUAAAGCGUGCGUAGGCUGUUUCGUAAGUCGUGUGUGAAAGGCGAGGGCUCAACCCGCGGACGGCACAUGAUACUGCGAGACUAGAGUAAUGGAGGGGGAACCGGAAUUCUCGGUGUAGCAGGGAAAUGCGUAGAUAUCGAGAGGAACACUCGUGGCGAAGGCGGGUUCCUGGACAUUAACUGACGCUGAGGCACGAAGGCCAGGGGAGCGAAAGGGAUUAGAUACCCCAGUAGUC
Molecule: ribosomal RNA, 446 nt
Filed under: uncultured bacterium
Lineage: Bacteria
Description: partial 16S ribosomal RNA
Rfam family: Bacterial small subunit ribosomal RNA
Source: RNAcentral